Molecule: long non-coding RNA, 26836 nt
Filed under: Triticum aestivum (bread wheat)
Lineage: Eukaryota; Viridiplantae; Streptophyta; Magnoliopsida; Poales; Poaceae
Description: long non-coding RNA (TAES_LNC027228)
Source: RNAcentral
CCCCCUCUCCUGCAGGGGGGCAAUGCAGCGGCGGAGGAAAUCUGCCCCGAUAGCACCUACAAUGAGCCCGGCAAGCCUGAGGCGAAGAAUCCUAGUGAUGGCGAUCUUCAGCCUCUCGUCUUCCGGGGCCACGUUGCUCCAGUCGUCGCUGCACACUAUUGGAGUUUGGCGCACGACGGUGAAGGGCUGCGGAUUCUCCUCGAUGAUCCAGCACCACUCUGCUCUCCACUCCUCCCACUUGCUGCGGAGCUCACCAUCCAAGUAUGCCUCCUUCUUGCCGACUCUCGAGACCCAGGCAAUCCCUCCGGCAAGCGACUCUCCUCUCUCUACCCGAGGAAUGAAAUAGUGGCGGAAAAGGGCAACACUAGGGUGGACUUCGACAAAGUUUUCGCACAAGUGUGCGAAAACUGCCAUGGUCAGGACAGCAUUAGGGGUGAAGUCAAGGAGGCGGAAGCCAUAUGUGUUCAUAAUGUCACAGAAGAACUCCGAGAAGGGCGGGCAGAGCCCGCAAUAGAAGAACAGUGGGAAGAACGGGUACCCAUUUGGAGCCAGCUUCGAAGCGAUAGCCGGGAGUACCCUCGUGCGCGGAUGCACACGCGUCUCCGUCGCCCAAAAGAGGUAGAAGUACUCCCUCAGCUCCUGCACGCCGAGCAGGGGGGUGAAGAUCACCCGCUCCUUCCGCAGCGCCGCGAGCCGCUGCGCCUCGGCCGACUUCACACCCUUUCCCUUGUCGGCUUUCGGGCCCAUGGCGGAGGUGGUGGAGAAGGUCGACGGCGUGGUGAUGCUGGUGGCAAUGGGGGGGCGGAGCGCUGCUCUCUCGGAUUCGAGAAGAAGGGGGGAGCGGCGGAGUUUGUGAAGAAGGAUUAGCAGCAACCAGCGAGGGGGAACGAACUGCCCCUGUUUCCUCUGCUUAUAAAGAGGGACGGGGCGGACGUUUCGCCCUUCCUAAUAAACAACCACCCACGAUCUCCCCCACGAUGCUGCAUUCAACGCGUGCCGUUAUGGGGGAGCGCGGUGGAUACGGAGCGAGAUUUGGUGUAGCCCAGCCCGCGUGUGCCCGUGCACUGUCUUGGGCCUGGCCCAACAGUGCUCGGCACCGUGUCUGGCCCAGGCCCGGGGGCUCCUGUCGGUGUACUAGAAUAGGGGUACCCUAGUACCCCGAACUUGUGCACGGGCAGUUGCAGCACCCCGCGGCAAGGCUUGCCGGGCGAACGCCAAGACCCUCCAAGGUUCCCUUGGAGCCAUCCAAGAACAAAGUAUUUAAGCUAAGGAGACAAGACCCCGGCAAGAGGAGCUUGCCGGGAAGGCUAACCAAGGCACUCCAAGGAACUUGCCGCGACGCGCCACACGCUCCGACAAGGAAACAAGGCCCCGGCAAGAGGACCUUGCCGGGAAGACUGACCAAGGUACUUCGAAGCCCGGUGAGCGACAAGCCUCCGGGCCCGACAAGAUAGCAGCAGCGGCAAGGCGCUUGCCGCGGCAGGCGGCCACUCUGCGCCCACGCUCCAGCGCAUCCACCAACGUGUCGCUCUGGGGGCCUCUCCGAACGCGCGUGGUGGGAGGCUGUGCAGCCAGCGAUGCGCAGUGGCAUGCGAAGCUGACAAGAUCGCCAUCAUGGCGAACGGUGGCGCCCUUAACGGUCCUUUUCUGCACUGUUCGGGCGAAUCAGAUGGGCAUUUAAUGCCCUUGUCCCCUGCCGUCAGAGUUAGGUAGGGUGCACUGUACAAGCAACUGUACCAACUACCUCGCUUUUUACGUUUUUACCCUCCUCUGCGUUGCCUCCUGUCGGUGACCCCUUUAGCGUAUAAAAGGAGGCCCAUGCGCAACGUAGAGGGGGUUGGGUUCCGAGGUUCGAUCAUUUCGACUCGUUUGUAAACCAGAAAGAGACCACGCUCUCUCGAGAGCAAGAAGACAAGAUAACAUAGCCAGACAAGCAGCAGUAGGAGUAUUAUCUCUCCGGAGAGCUCCGAAGCUGGGUAAACUGCUCAUGUGCUUCGCCUCGAUCUGCUCUUCGUGCAACCUCCGCCCCCCACCGAACCGAAAGGGGCCCGGUCAGCCGGCCCCAUAGGUGUUCGUGGGUCAGUUUCCCCCGACAGCUCCCCUACUCCACCAUCCAAGGUGCUUGCUCUAACUUGGCAGUGUGAUAUCUGGUUGCAUGUUGCAUAUUGUGUCUAGCUUGUAUUGCUCCUAAUUAGUGUAAACUGCAUCUGCUUAGCUUACACAUGAUAUAUGUGAAUAUGACACGCUUCCCUGUUUAUGGUACAUACUAUAUCUGUCUAUCACACCAUGUUCUUACAUGAAACUACUCUUCUUGUGUAUCCUGCAUCAGUCACAUAUGGUGGGACACCGUUAAGUUGGCAGUGUGAUAUUGGUUUGCGUCUUGAAUAUGAUUUCUAGCAUGUAUUGCUUCUAGUUUGAUGAACGACACCUAUGACGAGACAGUUUUAACUUGGCAGAGUGAUAUUGAUUGCACCUUCCAUAUGGUGUCUUGCAGUGUUUCUAAUUUGUUGAAGUGCCUUUUGCUUAGUUACCACAUCAUAGGUGUGAAUAUGUCAAGCCGUCCAUUUUUUCGUACAUAUUCGAUCCUCGUAUCAAGACUUUGCCUUUCAUCAGAGUAGUGUUCAUCAGUAUCAUGCAUGAAUGAGUUCUGAAGAGCGAAUGAUAUUCCUUUUUCUUGUCGGUAUGACCUCAUAAUGCAAAAUCAAUAAAGCUGAAGGAAAUUGGCAAGGCAUUGGAUGAUGGUGGUCCUUCCGAGCAACUGAAACGGAGGUUCUCUACAGAUUCUACUCCGCCAUCCUCCCAACAAGAUUCGCAGGACAACGAAAGGCUAGACAGUCAACGUAGCUGUGUAGAUGAUGAGGACAUCUCCCCUACUCCACCAUCACAGGUGCUUGCUCUAACUUGGCACUAUUAUAUGUGGUUCCAUGUUGCGUAUGAUGUCUAGCUUGUAUUGCUUCUAACUUUGUUGAAUUGCAUCUACUUACUUUACACAUAAUGCCUGUGAAUAUGACAUGUGUUCCUGUUUCUACAUCAGACUACUAUUCUUGCAUAUCCCGCAUCAGUCACUUAUGAUAAGGCACCUUUAAGUCGCCACUAUGAUAUUGGUUGUGUCUUGCAUAUGAUUUCUAGCAUGUACUGCUUCUAAUUUGUUGAAACGUCAUACAGUUUGAACUUGGCAGAGUGAUAUUGGUUGCAUCUUUCAUAUGGUGUCUAGCUUGCAGUGCAUCUAAUUUGUUGAAAUGCCUUCUGCUUAGUUACCACAUCAUAGGUGUGAAUAUGUCACACCAUCCUGUUUUUCAUACAUAUUCCAUCCUCACAUCAUGUGUUUGCCUUUCAUCCGAGUAGUGUUCGUCAGUAUCAUGCAUGAAUGAGUUCUGAAGAGCGAAUUUUAUUCCUAUUUCUUAUCGGUUUGACUUCACAAUGCAAAAUCAUUACAGCUGAAGGAAAUUAGUCCGACAGUGGAUGAUGGUGGUCCUUCGGAGCAACUCAAACUGGGGGUCUCUACAGAUUCUACUCCGCCAUCCUCCCAACAAGAUUCGCAAGACAACACAAGGCUAGAUAGUCAACGUAGCUGUGUAGAUGAUGAGCACAUCUCCCCUACUCCACCAUCACAGGUGCUUGCUCUAACUUGACACUAUUAUAUGUGGUUGCAUGUUGCGUAUGAUGUCUAGCUUGUAUUGCUUCUAACUUGAAUUGCAUCUACUUACUUUACACAUAAUGCCUGUGAAUAUGACACAUGUUCCUAUUUCUAGAACAUACGUGUACACGAUGAGCACAUCUCCCCUACUCCACCAUCAUAGGUGCUUGCUGUUACCUGGAACUGUUAUACGUGGUUGCAUUUUUCGUAUGAUGUCUAGUUUGUAUUGCUUCUGAUUAUGUUGAAUUGCAUCUGCGUAGCUUACAACUUAUACCUGCAAUGAUCACUUACCCAUAAGACACAUUUAACUUGGGACUAUGAUGUAGGUUGCAUCUUUCAUUGUCUUCUAGCUUGUACUGCUUCUAAUUUCUUGAAAUGGCACUUACGACGAGACACUUUUUACCUGAUAGAGUGAUAUUGGUUGCAUGUUCAUAUGGUGCCUAGCUUUCAUUUCUUCUAAUUUUGUUGAAAUGCCUUCCGCUUACUAUUUUUUCAUACAUAUUCCAUCCUCCUAUCUUAUGUGUGAAUAUGAAACGCUGUCUUUUUUUGUAUAUAUUCCAUCCUCCUGCGCUUGCCUUACAUCAAAGUAGUGUUCGUCUGUAUCAUGCAUCAACCAGUUAUGCAGAGCUAAUUUUAUUCAUCUUCUUGUGGUUUUGACUUCAUAAGGCAAUAUCAGAAAAUAGGAAGGAAAAGAGUAAGUUAGGGGAUGUUGGUGGUACUCCGCACCGACGCAAACAAAGACUCUCUAGAUUUGCCACUUCUACUGCUAAUGAAGUUGAAGUCCCAAGUCUACAUGAUGAGUUCAUCUCCCGCACUCCACCAUCGCAGGUGCUUUCUCUAAGUUGACAGUGUGAUAAUUGGUUUCAUGUUGCAUAUGUUGUCUAGCCUGUAUUUCUUCUAUUUUGAUUAAAUUGCACCUGCUAAGUUUAUAUGUUAUACAUGUGCAUAUGACAUGGGUUUCUAUGUCUAGAAUACACUGCAUCUUUCUAUCAUACCAUGUUCUUACAUCAAAGUACUGCUUUUGUGUAUCCCGCAUCAGUAGCUCAUGAUUGGACGCUUUUAACAUGGCAGUUUGAUAGUGGUUGCAUUGAUUUCUACGUUGUACUACUUCUAAUUUUUUGAAUUGCCACUUAUGACAAGACACUUUUAACUUGGCAGAGUAAUAUUGGUUGCAUCUUUCAUAUGGUGUCUAGCUUGCAUUACUUCUAUUUUAUUGAAAAUCCUUCUGCUUAGUUUGCACAUCGUAGCUGUGAAUAUGUCAUGCCGUCCUGUUUUUCUUACAUAUUCCAUCCUCAUAUGAUUGUCUUACAUCAAAGUAUUGCUUGUCUGUAUCAUGCAUCAAUGAGUUUUGAAGAGUGAUUUUAUUCUUUUGUGUUGUGGGUACAGCUUGACAUGGCAAAGUAAAAAAAGAGCAAGGAAAAUAAUAUUGUAGGGAGUGUUGUUACUCGUCGGGUGAAACGGAAAAGGCUCUGCCGUCGAGAUUCUGCUGGUACUUAUAGUGCAGUAGAAGGUCCAAGUCCACCGGCUAAAUCUACAAACACAGUAUCACCUGCUCCACCAGCUGUAGCAUCCGCUUCAAUUGUACCAGCAUCUCAACCAGUUACUCGUUUGUUUGCUCCCAAACUGGUUAGUUCCCAAGCUGCCUUCACACCUAACACUACUUCCGAAGCACUGUUGACACAACAGAACUUUGCAAGAUCAGAUGAACCGCAUGAUCAUCAACACCAAGACGGUACCUGACCGAGUCAUGUUGCAGUUGCAUGCUCCUUUAUAUGUACUCUCACAGUUUGAUGUACACUAACACUUUCCAUAUUCGUUGUUGAACUAGCACCACGGCGCAAGCGGAAACAGACAUCAGGGAUAAUGCUUGACAGAUUAACAAAAUCUAAAGGAGGAAGAAUGGAGAUCCAUUUUGAGGCAGGUUUAAAAAGGCCACAUAAUGCUACAGAGUCAGCCAAGUUAGUAUCAGAGGCAGCUGUUGCCAUUAGGUGUCAUGCGCGUAUCCUCCCAACGUGGAUCCAGUACAGGAAUGAGAAAGAUAAUACCUAGUUUAACACCUUCCUUGACCAUUUAUCUGUAAGUAAUGUUAUUCAUCGCAAUUAGUAAUAUUGUCUUGCUCUAUCCCAUACUUUCUAGCUUUCUCCUAGUAAGACUCACAUUCUUUUUUCAACAGAUGAGGUUCAAGUUGGAUCCGAAAGAUGAUGCAACUAAACAAGCAUGCAUUCAUGUUUUUCAGUCUCCUCUGCGACAGUAUCGGUACCACCUUAGAAAAUCUCACUUUGAAGGCAAGGCUAACAAUGAAAUCACCCAAACAUCUCCAGUGGAAUAUAUUACAGAUGAAGACUAGACAGCCCUCGUUAAACACUGGUCUGAUCCAAAGUAUCAGGUAGGCUAUAUGUGUUUGAUCAGACCACAUAUUGAACUUGUAUUUAUGUAUGUGCCUUACAAGUGUAUCUUCUUCUAGGCUAACUGUUUGAAGAACAAAACCAACCAAAAGACAACAGGAUCUCGUAGCUAUAUUGCACACUGCGAGCCUCUUGUAAAUAGCUGCUACUUCCUUCUUUUUUUGUGCCAUAUUAUCGUAUCUAUAUUGACUUGUUCCAAAUACAGCGGAAAGCCCGUGCGGACCAAAAAGAACCUGAACCGAAUGCAGUGCAAAUAUUCAAGGAUUGCCACACCAGCAAGAUGAAGGGCAUGAGCACACCAGUUCAAGCCGCUGUUGUAAGUCCUUACUCCUCCUGCCUUGAACUGAUUGGUACUGUGAUGUGUUCAUUUAACUACUUGGUUUGCAGCCAAUCUCAGUUACUCUGUUCACUUUUAUACACAGUUGUCUUAACGUAUCAUUUCACCUUACAUGGUUUAAAAGAGGUGAAGGAUAUUCUUUUGGUCUAAAUCUGUAAUCUAGUUGUUAUGUUCACGUGCGCACACAAUGAUAAAAUAGCCUGUUUGUUUUAUAUCUGUUUUCCCAUGAUAUGAAUGAUGUCAUACUAUGUCCAUCCUACUUUAAACCACGUCUCUUUAUCCUUACAUGUCAACGAAUGUGAGGAAAUAGACAAUACAGUAGGCAUGCUACAUGGACUUAUGUUCCGAAAGUGAUUUUAUUAUGUAGUUGGCACUACAAUUCAUGCUAAUGUAUUACAGUAGUUCACCAAAAUAAUUUAUGUAUAAACGUUUAACCUACUUUGUUUGUUUUUAUCUCAUUAUAAACUCACUGGUACACUAAUCUACAAGUUCAAACUUUCAGGAAGCUAUGGAACAAGUGAUUGAACAGCGACAACCACCUGAAGGUGACGAGGCUACUAUAGGCACAAUGUCACCUCUUGCUGCAGUGCAUCAGUAUCUCUCCACUAACAGUGCAAAAAGCACCUUCCUGCAUAAUUCUGGGUUGGUUGUCAAGGUAACCUCGUCCAAAUCGCCUACUGAACAAAAUCUUUCUGCUAGACAGAGUGAUAUAUCUAUGCUCCAGACACAAGUCCAAUCCCUAAUGGACGUUGUUUCGGAAACAAGAAUAGUGGUUGAGAAAUGCCGUCAAGAUAUGAAUGGUUAUGAAACCAGACUAUCAGACAUUCGCUUCGUUGUUGAAGAGCAAUGGCGGAAAAAAGGUGGAGAUCGUGUUGCUCCAUUAGAUUCUACAGCCUGAAACAUUAGCACUCAGGUCAAAUGAUCUAUGCUUCUAUACAUCUGAUGGUGCUUUUAUCUGGAAGGACUGUAAACUUUAUGCCAACAGGCCUUUUGUUGUAUGAUUGGAAUUUAUUUUGUUGUGAUACAGCAUUUAUGAUGCUGCCACAGGCUGCAGUAAUUAUGACGCUAUUUUUGUAUAGUGUAGGUUUAUCUUAGUAAUGUAUUCGGACGAAAGCUUCGUAGGAGCCCAACCUGCCAACAUUUGUCGGGCCCAUUCUAGUUGGGCUAAAAACAAUUACGGGCCGAAAUUGGCAUGUAGCCCACUAAAAAUAUCUAGGCUUAAAUUAGCAUAAGCUUUCAAAUUUUUCUGGUAGGCAUGUGCCCAUAGUGGGCCUUUAACAGGCCUAAACAUAAUUUGGGCCCUCAGUAAAAGUAGGCCGUUUACAUGUGUAAAUAUGUCGAGCCCUUAAAAACAUGGGCCUUUAAUAGACCGAAAGUAAGAUUGGGCCCUGAUUGUGCCAAAUAACCCACUGGACUUAGCAGGCCGAAAUGGUGGCCCUUUUACGAUGCGGAUAUUUGGCAGGCCGAAAUUUGGACGGGCCGUAAAUGCGCCGACCUAAUACACGGGCCUUUAAUAGGCCAGAAGUUCGGUCGGGAUAGAUUAUCGUCAUUUUUAUAUGGGUCGUUAAUGGGCCCAAUAUGAUAUUGGGCCACAUAUGGCCCAUGGUUUACGUCCGGUGUUUACGGGCCGAAAAUGAUAAUAGGCCGAAAGUGGGCCAAAUCUAUAGUGGGCCUCUAAUAGGCCGAAUGACAGACAUGGCCGAAUGUGACCCAAAUCCUUCACGGUCGUUUAUGGGCCGAAAGUUUUAAUGGCCUAUAAAUGGGCCCAAAUGAAGCCGGACCUUUAACAGGCCGGAAAUACACCGGGCCAUAAUUCAGCUCAAUUACUUAGCGGACUGCUAACGGGCCAGAAGUGACCAUGGGCCGCAUUGAUGACAAGUUUAGACCAGGCCAUUGACGGGCCGAUUUGACAGAGAAUGUUGGGCCUUUAGCUGGAUUGGCCCAUUAUGGUCUGCAGAAUCUUGUGGGCCUUUAGCUGGGACGUCCCAUUGUGGUCCGCAAAAUCUUAUGGGCCUUUAGCUGGGCCGGCCCAUUAUGGUCCGCUAAAUUUUGUGGGCCUUUAGCUGGGCCGGCCCAUUAUGGUCCGCUAAAUCUUAUGGGCCGUCGGUUGGGCCGGCCCAUUUAAACUUUGUGGGCCACUUUUGGGUCGGUCCACGUGUCAACAUAUCAUAGGCCCAUCUCGAUCGUUGGAUGAGUGACACCUAUGCCAACGCGGAGCUAACACGUGGAUCCGUCAGCCAAUGAGAAAUUUACACGUGAAAAAUCGGCAUUGGUCGUGGCUGUUAACGGGUUGUCAGAUCUAAAAUCCGACCCGAUAGCUUAAGGGCGUUCCGUUAUGGUGGAUGCCACGUGUCGGUCACCCUUGACGAAAGCACUUCUGUGACGCGUGAUUUAUCGUCAUGGAAGUGGACACUUUCGUGAUGAUAAUUUUGGUAAUGUCAUGGAACACUUCUAUGACAGCACAGGUAUGACUAUCUUGAUUCUGUCAUAAAUUUGUCAUGGAUGUACAUGCAUGACAAAAAAUGCGACCUACUGUGACAAACACGUAUCGUCACGGAAGUGAAUUUUUUUGUAGUGGCGGCUGGUGCUCGGACUGUUCGAAAUUGAGGUUCGUUGCUGGAGUCGAAGGUUAUGGCCGUAUCGUUCCACGGAUUUAUUGCUGCGACGUGGCAGACUUCGGCGAGGCUGCGGAGUGCUCGCUUGCGCCUGUUGUUUGAGGCGAAAGUCUCGAAGACGGUAAGUACUGUAUUGUUGUUUUCUGCGGGAUGGUGUACUGCGGUAUUGUUGGUGAGAAGGUCCUCGCCGUUGUUGGCCACCUGCCGGAGUAUCCAACAUGCUUUGAGGCUAUGUGUUGGUAUGGUGUCCGGUGUGCUAUGAAUUUUGCACGGCCUAUUGAGCCAUUCUUCCAGUACGGUUCCAUGCCCUGCAAAGGGCUUUGGCUUCUAUGUAAUUCUAUUGGGUGACUUGCGAAAGCGCACCCUGUUAGUUCGGACGAGGGGUUUAGUUAGGGCCGGGGGAUCCCAGAAUUUUGUGUGGGUCUUCUAGGUGCUUUCCAUCGUGCAGUACUUCUGUACUAUGGCCGCCAGGUCGGCAAAGUGUGCUAUGUCACGGCGACUUAUGGCAUUGAGAAUUCCCCUAUCCGUGCAAUUUUUGCAAAAGAAUGAGAUUGCGUCUUCCUCAUGACAGUCCUUAACCUUCCUCAUUACAAGGAGGAAUCUGGCCCAGAAGUGGUGUACUGUCUCUUGGGGCUCUUGUCUGAUAUGGGAAAGAUCGCUUACAUCUGGGUGGGUGGGUGAAAUUAAGUCCACGUCCUGACCCAAUCUGGAACCCAGGGGCGAAGGACCUCCUGAGCUUGGCAGCUCGGGCUCCAAGAUAUUGCCCAAUAUUUGUGGCAUGCUGCCCGAUUUUAAGUUCGGAGUCUGGGCCACGAUCUCCCAUAAACGGGUGUCCGGCUCAGCGAGCUCGGGAGUCCGGAUAUAGUUCAUCCUCAAAACAGAGGAAGAAUUGUUGUUUUUUUCCUCCACCACCACUAUCUGAUGGGUGACCGGCGGAGAGUUAAUCUCCCUUAGGUCGGGUUUAAGCCCGAUCCAAUCAUAAUCCGUUGAUACCCCCAGGGUGGUGAUGCGAUCCAAGAUCUCGUUCAAGGAGGAGAGAUCCAUUGGAUCCAUCUGCUCGGUAAAUUUUGGGCUGACGCGGAGGUUGUUUUUGAUGACCUGCAAUGUCAUCGUCGGCGUGACGGCCGGACGGGCUGUCAUGACGAGAUCGCCCAGCCGAAGAGUUUGGCCUACAUCCAAGGAUCCUCCGGAGGUAAUGUUAUCCUUGAUAAUGAGGUGAGCCAUCAAGCCUUAUCGGGACGACACAGUGGAACUCUCAAUGAAAGCACCAAUGUCGGUGUGAAAACCAGCGUAUCUCGGGUAGGGGGUACCGAACUAAGCGUCUAAGGCUAAUGGUAAUAGGAGGCGGGGGACACGAUGUUUAUCCAGGUUCGGGCCCUCUUGAUGGAGGUAAUACCCUACUUCCUGCUUGAUUGAUCUUGAUGAUAUGAGUAUUACAAGAGUUGAUCUACCACAGAUCAUAGAGGCUAAACCCUAGAAGCUAGCCUAUGAUUAUGAUUGUUGUUGUCCUACGGACUAAACCCUCCGGUUUAUAUAGACACCAGAGGGGGCUAGGGUUAUAGAGAAGGAAAUCUACACGUCCAAAUAUCCAAGCUUGCCUUCCACGCAAAGGAGAAUCCCAUCCGGACAUGGGACGAAGUGUUCAAUCUUGUAUCUUCAUAGUCCAGCAGUCCGGCCAAAGUAUAUAGUCUGGCUGUCCGAGGACCCCUUAAUCCAGGACUGCCUCAACUGGUAGAGUCGAUUGUUGACUAAGUUUCUAUUUUUGAGAAACCUUGUGUACGCAUGAACUUAGUAGCCCACAAGUCAGCCUCCAAAUCUGUAGCAGACAACAUAAAGUCCAUUUGCUAUUUUUUUAUAAUUUGCAGCCCAUUUGCUAAUUCUUAAGUAAUUUAUUACAGCCCAUUUUCUGCCUAGGACCACGGUCAAAAAGUUCAAUCUUAUUUUGCAUAUUUCAGGGAGUCCGAACAUUUUUUAAGAACUUAUUGAUUUGCCAAAAAAUUGUUUUAUUUUUGUAAGCAAAUAAGACGUGGGACAAUUGAGUUGGUUUAAGGAAAAACCAGUGGUAAAAAAAUCAGCGCUGGGUGGGAAAAACAACAAAAAUAAGGGUGUAAAUAUGAAAAGGGAAUUUUAUGUGUUUUCAAUAUAAUGAUACUUGUAUAUGAACUAGUAAAACUAUAGGUAGAGGUUAGAAAACGGAUGUAGGACAUGCGUUUCAAGAGGAAAAUAGAACUGGGUUGUGUGUUUCAUUCAGUAAAAAAACUGCCUACGGAUAUUGUAAGACAAAAUAUAACUAACGCUGGCGGGCCAGAGGCCAGUAGAUACCUGCUGGAUCUUUGUGCCCCGUUGUCAUCAUGGGCUGGGCCUGUUAAAGACAAAACCAAGCCUGGGCAGUCUACAGCCCAGUUGAAACUUGCUCGAACUGAAAAAACAAUAUACAUGCUCAAUAAAUGAGAUAAUUCUGCAAGUACAGGCUGAUAACUGGGAUGCAGCAGGGAUAUUGUUUUUUCAUCGUGAUAAUAAGUGCAUGCACUUGUUUUGAAAAAAAUGGAGAACUGGGAAUUCAAACGACAGGUGCUUAUGCUACCCAUCAAAUAAAACUCAGGAGCCUGAAAAUUCGUUUUGAUACAAAUGAUUCAACUUUAUAUCCACGUCCACCGUCGGCAUGAUGGUUGGAAGCAAAUGCAAGUUCAUACCAAAAUAUCGUUAACAACAAUACCAACUUGCGGACGACAAGGUAGUACAACUACCAAUACCAAACUAACUUAUAAUCUUUUUACUCCUCUCCCUAGUGUUCGUCUGGUACAAUAUCUUGCAGAGGACCAGCUCCUGCUCCUUCUCUUGCUCCAGGUCCCCGAGGUAGUACUGGUGCAUCACCCAGUUGGUCCUCUGCUGGUCGAAGUUCUUGUUGGUGUGCAACACCAGAAGCUUUUUGCUGCCCGUCUGCCGGCCGUUGACCAUCACCGGCAAGUAUCUUGCGACGCGUCCACGUGCCCCUUUUGAACGCCCUGGAAUUGCGCUAGAAGAAAUGCUUCCUUAGGCCACUCAAUGUGAUACCUGCAGUAUUGUCGAAUACAGGUUUCAGUGUACGUAGUUGGCAUUUUCAUAACAUCUUUGGCAUGUUGCAGUCACUUGUUUCACUUUUUAUUAACUAUCAAAUUGUAAUUGCUUCACCAGGUCUGCGUCUAAAAAGAAAAAUAGAGCUAUAAACAAAGGAAUAUGUUUGUGCAAGUAGACGACCGAUCAGUGUCUUACCUGGAAGUUUCUCAGGAUGGGUGUAGCAUAUGUCGUGCUCGCUGUCGAUGGUCGGUAUGAAAAAAUCGAUGAGAGGGUGAGAUCUCGCGCUGUAAGCACUCACUUUGGCCUCAAGGUGCUCGAUCAGCUCCUGAUCCAUGGGAUCGAACUUGACGCCAGCCGGCAGCACCGGCCAAUCCUUAUUCGACUUGCAUCGGUAAUGCCAGUUAUAUGGUACUCAAUGUAUGAUCAAUAGACUGUUUUAAGUGAAUGAUGAAAGAAUUCGAUAGAUAAGUAGUACUCCAAAUCUGAAGUCCGGAAUACCCGAACACGUCUCCGGGAUUCUUGUGUCACCUCACGCGCAGCGUGUUGUCACAUCAAUUCAAUGUGUGCACAUGAUGAAUAUAUUUUCUUGAAACUGGAUAUGAUGAAUAAUUUGACCGACGUAUACUAGUACUGCUACUUUACUACUUACUAGUCGUAUUUAGUGUCACAAUUUAUACAUAGGUUUAACUAACAAGUACGCACUUGAAGCCUCAUUUGCUCGAUUGCUGUUAAAAAUCGUCUUCUUUAGUUCCAAUUUUUUUGCAAUUUUUUUUGUCAAAACGGGGAGUGUAAUAUAUCGUUGGAAAGCUCUUGACAUCCACAUUACAAUCUAAUAAUUUGUUUUUGCAAAAAAAUUAUGAUUUAAGAGCAGUUUUGAACAAACCGUUUUUUUCAAAACCAAAAUCCCGAAUCGUAUUUUGGACUUAGUUUUCAAACGUUUGUCAGAAUUGAGCAAAUGAGAUGGCGUUGGAAAGCUUGUAAAAAUCCGCAUCUUCCAUAUAUCUACUAUUUUUUCAAAUUCUAUAUGAUUUAAAAGUAAUUCGAAAAACAGUGAAAUUCUGGGCGAAAUGUUUUUUCACCGUUUCUUGCAAAUGGUUUGCCGGAUUGACGCAAAUGAUACAGUGUUGGAAUGCUAUGGAAAAUGCACAACUUUUGCAUAUAGAAUUUUUUUUCUAAUUCCUUACGGUUUAAAUACGAAUUCAAAUAUGGUUAAAAUUGGUUUUGAAUGCGGUUUUUUUAAAAGUUUUUCAAAAUGGGGCAAAUAAUAUACCGUUGGAUAGCUAUCGAAAAUGCAAAACUUAGUCAUGUUGGACAUUUUCUCUACUUCGCAACCGUUUAAGAGUAAUCUUCAAUACGGCAUGAUGGAUCCUGCUGUUUUCUCGUCUGAAAAAUAGAGUAGUCGUACUGAUAUAUGUGUAUAUUUGUACGGAGCUAUUUUUUGGAGAGUAAUUUUAAAUUGUUCCGAAAAAAGAUACUUGUACUGAUGCUUGCAUGGGUUUGUACUAAGCGUGUUUUCACUAACUAGACUUUGCUCUGUUUUUGGGUAAUAUUUUUCUCGUAAAUUUUCAACGGUUUACUGUAUCCUAGCCCUGAACUUGCAUGGUUUAUAUUGUUGAACUAAAGGUUAUUGUAUCGUCGGCCCUGUACUUGCAUGGUUUAUAUCAUCGAACUGAAUGAUAUUUUUUUCAAAAAUAAAAUGUUUUUUUAUUCUUUUUUUUGAACUAAACAUUUUUUUACAACGAUCUUCUAGACUUCUCUUAUUUUAUGAUUUGUACCUUUACCAUUUGAAUUGCAUGGGGUUUCCUUUUGCUUGAACUUUUAUAAUUUGAAUUUCUGUCAUUUCUUUUAUUCUGAACGGACCACCGUUUUUAACUUGUACUGAUCAAUAUUUUUAAUUAAACCAAUUUCCUUUGUAGAACGGACCACCGUUUUUGUUUGUACAGAUCAGUUGUAGAACUUGGACGUCAAUGUCACAGAAUUAAUUUGUGAGCUUCUUACGUUUCCUUUUAAAGUUGUUUUUUCCAUCGAACUUUAUUGGCACCAAAUUUUAUUUUCCGUGCCUCUCAAACUGAUGCGAUUUUUUUCGACGAGUACAUACCAAAUUUCUCUGUACUGAUAUGUUUUUAACACACACACAUAUUGAAUUGUUCCCACAUUUCAUUAUGAAUUUAUUAUAUAUAAAAGGUUAACUAUACGACACUUUUUAAAUGAAUCUAACAAGAAUUUUCGCUCGCUAAACUUCCAAAUGUUUUUCCAUUGUAAAUUCAAGUCUGAACAAUUGUAAAUACUUCUAAAUUGAACUGAAAUAAAAUAUAGGAACACUCGAGUCUGAACAGUUGCAAAUAGUUCUAAAUUGAACUUAAAUAAAAUAUAGGAACUGAACUGAGUGUAUUUUCAGAUUUCUGCUAGCAUGCACCAUGACACUUUAGAUAUGUUUUUACAAUAGAACAUAUACUAAUUUUUAUGUCAAGUAACCUCAAACAAAACUAAAGUGGAGCUUCAUUUACAAUAAUAGAAUAGAACAUAUGCUAGUUUCGAUCCAUACAAGGUUUUCUCAAAUGCUUAUUAAGGCAUAACACACAACUCCUGUUGUGCUAUAGGAAGAACACUUAAAGAGGGGAAAUUGGACAUAGAAUCGUUAAGUAGGUGUACAAAAAAGCACACAAAACAUGUACUGAAAAAGAACAAAACAUUCUUAGCGUUGCAUCGGCCUCCUGUGGCAGAGGUGAACGUUCUGAUAGUUGCGUCAUUGCACGGCCUCGUGUGGCGGAGGUGAACGGCUUGUGGUGGUAAGGGGGAACGGCUUGAGUGCUGCAUAUCCAAAAAAUAUUGUUUUAUUUGACAACACGAAAACAUAAAAAGGCCUCCUGUCAUCAUCGAACUGAACCAUGCAACGCCUGUCGAGUUACUGAAAUAUUUUAUAGUAUGGGUUAGAUACAGUUCCAAACUAGUACCUGAAAUCAUCCCCAAAUAUGCAUGUCAAGCUUCAAAGUUGGAAGUAAUAAACACCCAGAUAUGCAUGGGUUUAUAUGAGUAUAGAUGAGCUACGGAAUAAACACUCAGAUAUGAAUUUGCUUCAAGUCAGGUUUGGUUUUUUUUAAUUUGAUGCAUGUUUGCACUAUAGAACUGCUACUGGUUUUCAAGCUGGACUUGAGUACUCCCUCUGUAAAGAAAUAUAAGAACAUUUUAGAUCUCUACUUUACUGAUCUAAACACAUAUUUCCCUUAUUAAUUUUUCCAUAGUUUACUCCCAAAAUCAUCACCACAAAAGAAACACAUAUGCAUUCCAGUGUACCUGUAACGCCCUCGAUGCGGCUAUAUCUCCCACGUGUCGAAGCACGACUUAGAGGCAUAACCGCAUUGAAAGCAAUGUCGCAAGUGAGGUAAUCUUCACACAACCCAUGUAAUACAUAAGGGAAAGAGAUACAUAGUUGGCUUACAAUCGCCACUUCACACAAUUACAUGAGUAAAGCAUUACAUCAUCCAGAUACAAUCAAGGUCCGACUACGGAACCAAAAUAAAAGAAGAACCCCAAAUGCGACAAAGGUCCCCGAUCGACCCCAACUGGGCUUCACUACUGAUCAACUAGAACUAAACAACACAAAGGGCAAGAUCUUCAUCGAGCUCCUCCUUGAGCUUGGUUGCGUCAUCUGCACGGUAACAUAGGCACCUGCAAACUGGUUUUGGAAGUAUCUGUGAGCCACGGGGACUCAUCAAUCUCGCACCCGCAAGAUCAAGACUAUUUAAGCUUAUAGGAAGGAUGGAGUAAUGAGGUGGAGCUGCAGCAAGCGACUAGCAUAUAUGGUGGCUACAAUCGCAAAAGAGAGCGAGAAGAGAGGGCAAAGCACGGUCGAUAAAAGUAUGAUCAAGAAGUGAUCCUAUAGUAACCUCAAGCAUAACUCCAACACCGUGUUCACUUCCCGGACUCCGCCGAGAAGAGACCAUCACGGUUACACACGCGGUUGAUGUAUUUUAAAUAAGGUCAACUUCGGGUUUUCUACAACCGGACGUUAACAAAUUCCCAUCUGCCCAUAACCGCGGGCACGGCUUUCGAAAGAUAAUACCCUGCAGGGGUGUCCCAACUUAGCCCAUCACAAGCUCUCACGGUCAACGAAGGAAUAGACCUCCACCCGAGACGUUCCGAUCAGACUCGGUAUCCCGGUACAACAAGACAUUUCGAUAGGGUAAAACUAAACCAGCAACACCUCCCGAAUGUGCCGACAAAUCCCGAUAGGAGCUGCACAUAUCUCUUUCUCAGGGCACACUCAGAUGAGCAAUCCGUACAACUAAAACCAAACCUCGAGUUUCCCCGAGGGGGCGCUGCACAGGGCUCUAGUUCGGACCAACACUCAGAGGAGCACUGCCCCGGGGGGUUAGAAUAAAGAUGACCCUUGAGUCUGCAGAACCCAAGGGAAGGUGGUAGGUUGUUAGUGCAAAUGGUAAAACCAAUGUUGGGCAUUGCUGGAAGAGCUUUACUUAAGGCGAACUGUCAAGGGGUUCCCAUUAUAGCCCAACCGUGUAAGGAACGCAAAAUCCGAGAACAUAACACCGAUAUGAAGGAAACUAGGGCGGCAAGAGUGGAACAAAACACCAGGCAUAAGGCCGAGCCUUCCACCCUUUACCAAGUAUAUAGAUGCAUUAAUUAAAUAAGAUAUAUUGUGAUAUCCCAACAAGUAAACAUGUUCCAACAAGGAACAACAUCUCCAUGUUCCAACAAGGAACAAACUUCAAUCUUCACCUGCAACUAACAACGCUAUAAGAGGGGCUAAGCAAAGUGGUAACAUAGCCAAUCAACGGUUUGCUAGGACAUGGUGGGUUAGAGGUUUGACAUGGCAAUUUGGGAGGCUGACAAGCAAAUGGUAGGCAUCGUAGCAUUGGCAUAGCAAAAGAGCGAGCAAACUAGCAUAGCAAAGAUAGUGGUGAUUUCGAGGGUAUGAUCAUCUUGCCUGAGAUCCCGCAAGGAAGAAGAACGAAUCCAAGAAGAAGACAAACGGUCGUAGACGACCAAAUCCUCACAACUCCGGAACGAAACCGAAGCUAACGAGAGAAGCAACCCGGAAAGAAACAAACAACAUAGUAAACACACAAGCAUAAACAAGUCAUGAUGCACAAACAAGUAUGAUGCAUGUCCGGUUUAAUGAGGCAUGGCAUGGCAAAGUGCAACAAACAAUACUAGAAGUUAAGUGGAGCUCAAUAUGCAACGAGGUGCAUGUUAACGGAACACCACAUCAAUUAUUUAGUUAUCUCUCGUUUAAGCUACCCAACAAUAUUAACUGUUGUUAAACAUGGCAAGAGGUGAAGCAUAAUAUAAACUAUACCAUCUAAACAAUUUAAAUGGGGCCGGAUAUAAAAACAACAAAUCCGGUAAAUCCCCAUAUGCAUUUAGCAAUUUAAUGCAACAACAAGUUUAAACAUUUUAAAUGUUGUUAUCAUGAUGCGGAUGACAUAUACAAGUUUUAUGCAAUUUUAUGAAAAUGUUGACAAGACCAUUAAGAAGCAUUUGGUCACCAUGGCGGAACAAAAAGGGUGCCACGGCGGCGAAACAAAAAUGGUGCCACGGCAACAUUCCAGUCCCGGUAACUCAUGGAGAUACCGGUGCAAAAGGAGGCGUGCGGAUGUGCGGAACAUGCUAGAGAUGGUGGGGUGAUCCCGGUUACCGGGUUCCCACGGUUCAUCGGCAUGGCGAACGAGGAGGAACGUGCAUGAAGCAAACGGGCACGGUGCAAACAUAGGGUGCAUCUCAUACAACACAUGCAUUCGGUCCACAGACGGCGUCUCGGGGUUAUACCUUCGAAGCGUGCGUUUUCGAAGCGAAUCGGUUCGGAGGGGAAGUAGUCGUUCUCGCGACGGUAGAGGUUCACGUUUCGGAGAGGAACUUGUCGUAUCCAUGUAGUCGUUCACGUGUGACCGUGGUGUAGUCGUACAUGUCAGCGAUAGUGGAACUUGGCGGUCUCGACGGUCAUCGGGGUACUUGUUGGUCCGGUCUUGGCGUCCGCAAUCGUAGUGGUACUUGGCGGUUUCGUGUAGUCGAACUUGACGAUCCAGGUAUGGGUCUUGGCGGUCUUAACGAAUCCAAGGACAGAACCAUGGCGAGGUUCAGCAGCUCCCCCACGUCCAUGAUGAAAAACGAAGCUCGGGCAGGGAGUCGGAGCAGCAAGUGGGGCUCGCUGGGCCUCGGCGCCGGUGCAGGGACUCCGGCAGGCGGGACUUGGCGGCAGCAGCAGGUCCAGGAGGGGUCGCCGGGGCUGGACGGCACGAGGACGACGCCGACGAGCUCCACGGCCACGGCGGACGGCAGAACUGGACGGAUUCGAGGGCAGGGAGACGGCUUGGCGACGCGGGACUUGAGGCGCAGGAGGAUGAUGGCUGCGGGCACGGGUGCUCGAGGAGCUCCUCUCCUCGGGCGCUCGGGCGAAGGGGACGCCAUGGAGACCAGGCGCGAGGUGGAGGGAGCAGCUCCGUCGUGGCGGGGUACGAGGCGAGGACGAGGAAGCCAAGGGGAGGCGUCGCGCACGGGGUGGCCCUCCUGGUGGUCGCCAACGGCGGCGGGUGGCGACGGGCUCCGGCCUGGUGGCUGCUCGGGGAUCCGGCAGGCGGGGCUCGCGCCGCGGCGGCGGCUGAUAGACGAGGAGGCGGGCGAAGUGGGGCUUCGGCUGUGGGGCGCUGCGGGAUGAAGAGGGAGCGAGGAGAAGGGAGAAGACGAGCGCGAGGAGAGGGAGAGAUGGGGAUCGGGCGCAGGAGGUGAGGCGUGCGUGCGGGUGUGGCGGCGGGCAGGGAACGAGAGGGAGAGAGAUGCGGAGGAGGGGGUCGGGCUAGGUUAGGAGGGUUAGGUGGGCUGGGCCUGAGAGGCCGGUUGGGUCGGCCCAGGUGGAGAGGAAAUGGCCAGAGGCCUGGUUGGGCUUACCUCUCUCUUCUCUCUCUCUUAUAUUUACUUUAGCAGAAAAGCAAAAAGAGAGAAGAAAAGAAAAGGAGGGUUAGGGAAAGAAAAAACGCAAGGGGAUAUUUUUCCCGGACUCGCAAAAAUGAGCUUGUUCCAAGAAAAAUAGAAAGGCCAUGAUUGAAAGAUUUAAAUUCAAACUCAUUUGAAUUUAAUUCAAAUGGGUUUGAACGGAAGUGAGGGUUUGGGAAGGUCCAAAAAUGUUUGGAUUUUUGGUGGAGCUCCGGAAAAUGAUGAAAUAAAUAUUGGCAAGGUUGGAGACCAAACUUGAAGCAGAAAAGGAACGAAAUUAUUUGUAAGUGUGUUUUGGUGAUUCCAAAAUAGUGGAAUAUUUAAUAUAGCUCCCUAAUAUUGGAGGAUAUGUUAUAAAGAGAAGUCACCAUGUGAGUCCCUCGAUUUAAAUGGAUCGAAAAAUCCAUACAAUUUAUUUAGUUGAGGUUUUAAAAAUUAAUGAUAUGAUGGCAUGAUGACAUGAUGCAAUGCACAUGAUGCAAGGAUGAAUGCAACAAAUAAAACAAAUCACACGACGAAACUCGGAAUAGCUGGAAGUCUUCUGGAGCGUCGGUCUCGGGGCGUUACAGUACCUGGGCGAUGCAUCGGCUUGUACUGAGGGUGUAGAUUAGAGUGGCUAGAAGAGGAUAUAGUAGCAUGCACACACCACCAUAUAAGUCCAGAACACAUGUAUACAUGCACACAUCUCCAUCUACAAGGAAGGAUAGAUGAGUAAUUGAUAAGAGAAAAAAGGUAUGCUAGAAUGUAAACCUGGAAUUGGAAAAAACAAGUAUCAAAGUUUUUACGGAAAAAUGCCAACGGGUCAGUUCCACAGCUCUUUCAAUUUGCAGGAACUAACAGAAACACUAAUAGAGAAAUAGCAAAGCACCAUCUUUUUGGUAAUACAGGAAAUUAUGAAAACACCAUAACAUGAUUUUUGCUAAUGGGAUAUAUACUGAUGUACUACUACAGGUUUGUUGUCAAACUUUACUUGUUGUUUGGGAUGCACUUCUUUUAUGAAACUUAAAUGAACAGGACUGAAUUGCAACACUAAGAAUUUCAUAGCAUUUUUCAGAAAUUUAGUAUACCUUCAUUUUUGGAAACUGCUUCCUAUUCCUGCUAUUUUUUCAGUUUUUUUUGUAAACUGAGUCUUCUACGUUCCAGUGUUGCAUCUUCCUCUAAAUUCAUCUCUUUCUUCAUAAAUGUUGCAUCCUGUUUUUCGGCAUCCUGCAAAAAAAGGAUCAAAUUUUGAAAGAUUGAGCCAUUGAGGAAGUACAGGGGGUUGCCGGACCUGGAAGAGGAGGUCGUCGCAUGAGCAGCCCCGCCGGAUACAGCUAUGGAGCACGAGGUGGCCUAGACGCGAUUCUUUGAGCGACCAGAGGCGGGGCUAGCAGUUGGACUGUGAACCAUGGAAGAGCUCGAUUUUGUCAAGCACGAACAGGUGAGCGAAGCCCAAACUUAAAGAGGAAGACUAGCUGAACUGAGAAAGUAAAGUGAUUUGUCACGCACAUCCACUGGAACUAAAUAACAACACACACACACACACAGACUGAUGAGUGUACAAUUCAUCAAACUUCUAAACAGUAGGCCUCUAAAUAAAUUCAAUAGAUACUCUUUAACUAUACCUAACAAACUAAGCCAAAGCUCAAUCCUAAAAAAAUACUACAAUCAUUGAGGUUGUGUUAAUUACAUCGUCCUUUACAUACUGAUGUACCACUACUAGUCUACUAAAUUGUUCUUAUAUGCAUCCACUUGUGGAAUUUAAAGUAAGAAGUAUUGGCUGAAACAAAAGAGUACUCAUUUCAAAUAGGGAUUCAUGUUCUUGCGCCUACAUAUUACAAUCUUGAUUUCUUACUGAGGGUGGCCAAGGCGACCAACGGGAACUGUAGUUGGCCGUGCUUGUUCUGGGCAGCAAACUCACACCAGGUGGAAGUGAUCACGGGUAGCAGGGAUCACGGGUGGCCUUCAUCUCGCUACCGGACAUAGGGUGCUCGCGCUCGUGGAUGUCGAGGACGGGAUCGACAGCAAAACAUGACACUGCUGAAAUUAGAUAGCAUUGACAACAAAACAGGACACUAGUGAAAAAAAUCCUCCAGAAAAUGGCCGUUCUCCUAGAUCGAAAUAAGGGUGUACGUGUUUUCAAAAAUAGGGAUAUGGAUUGAACUAAUUUUCUAGGUACGGUGGAACUGAAGGAAAAGAUUUUCAGAAAGGGGAGGUGGAUUGAACUGAAGGCGUUGGUGAGGGCGUUCGAGGACGGGUGGCUGCGGUGGGGUCGCAGGCCACCAUGGAUGACGGUGAACGUCACCGGGCGGACCGCGACGACGGAGGCCGCGUGGUGGAGGGACGAUGCACUGGCAUUUUUUAUUUGAACUAAUCAUUUCUUUUAUUUCGAAUUGAUCAUUGUUUUUAAUUCAUACUGGUCAUUGUUUUUAAUUAAAACAAUUUUUUCCUUUCAAACCAGUAUGUGUGCAUGUGUUGGAAAAGUGAGGUACCAGUCAGUCAGUCAUGUUCAUGAACGGAGGGAUCCUUGCCAUGUCCCGUGUGCUAGGUCUACUCAUUUUACAAAAUGAACCUUUUUAACUGAAUUUAGCUUUACAGAGAGUGCAUGCGAUUUUAUAAAAUUAUGAGAAUGAAUAAAUAUACACACCAAACUGACAACAGAAUACACACCAAACUAAUACUGAGUUUAGUAUAGAAAUUCUCUUUUCAUGCACUGACGAUAUUUUCUUCUCUGUGUACUGGAGAACAAAGAACAAAAAUACACACCGAACUGACGAUACAAUACAUAUUGAAGAAAAGGGAAUUUCUUAUCUUUGAAAUGAUGAUAGAAUACAUAGCGAACGGACAGGAGAACAAUGUCUAUUUGUGUUUUUGCUUUUUUCAUGAAUUGACGAUAUUUUACAAAAAUCAAUGUACUGACAACACUUCUUCAGCUUAGUGCACAAUGUCCAGUAUUAUUUUGUCAGGUUAUUUCAUGGAAGGCACUACAAGAAAUCAGUGGCAAUAAUCAAAUUUCAGUUUUCAGUGGCAAUAGGUGUAGUAAGUGAAGUCGAACUGACCUCGUCCGUGGCGGAGGUGAAUGGCCUCAGGUGACGGAGUUGAACGGCCUGUGCGCUGAGGCGCGGAGGGCGACAUCGGAACAUGGUCCACACAUGGCGCAUUGCCACGAGAAGUGGUCACGUCGCCAGCAGGAGGUGCGGGGAGGCGUGCACCUCUUUGGGAGGAGGUGCGUCACGCCUGGUGACUGUCGAGGUGUCGGGGGUGAAUUAGAGUAGCAACACUUUUGUUUUUGAUUGGCUUGGCACAACAAGAUAUACACCUAGCAAUCUAGGCCAAAUAAAAUCCAUAGAUAACAGAUUGACCAAACCAAAAAUCCAUGUACUGAACUUAUUUAUCUAUACACUUGAUUCCUUUAUGUUUUAUCUUAUAGAGAAAUACUGAAGCAAAAUCUGAACAUGAUCACAUUACCACAAGGAGGUAAAAGACAUGUAAAACCAGUGCUCAAGCAUUGAUGCUUCAUGAUCAAGAAUUGGCGCAAAAUUCAGAGACAAAAAAUCUUGCGAUGAAACUUCAGGAUCAACAAUUGGUCACCUCCUCCAUAACAAAAUUCGUGAAAUAAAGAACAAUUGUGCAAAAGUAGAUCAAAAUGAACCGGAGAGAGUUCUGGGGCGGUGACCACCAUUGUAGUAGGAUACCUCGUUGGCGACCACACGAGAAUGGGGGAUGAGGCAUGGCCUGCAGCAGUACAAGGAGGCAACCUGCAUAAGGAAGAGGUUGUGACCUGACAGCGGAAGAGGCUGCGACCUAACGGCAGAAGAGACCGCGACCUGACGGCGGGGGUUAGGAGGCAAGAAUGAUGGUCGCUUGGACAAUUUUUUCACUAGGUUUGUUUUCAGUAUUAAAAACUAUUUACUACAUUACAAAAAACACCUAAAGAUGCUCCAAACAAACUUCUGAACUUGCAUACAACCCUCUUUGAACUUGCGAUAUGAAACUUUUUGCACUUACACAAGUUGGCAGUGGAAGCAAGCAGCAACCAGAAGCAUACUAUUGUUUUACAGUACUCAAAAGCACACAAAGAUCACAUCCGCAACACAGUGGUGGGCUGAUAUCUAUGGUUUCUUGAUUGUUCCGUGGAUGGAUUCUAGUACUCCCAUAUACUAGUGUAUGUGAAGCAACAACAAAGAUUGGCCUUUUUAUAGAAAAUCAAAAUGGACAGUACUGAAUCUUGCACUUACCAUUAUAAUUUUUGGGAUUCAACUUGUUGUGGAGUUAGAGGGGAAAUCCACACAUGGCAGCACGUUCAGUUGAAAAUAGAGGAGAGCAGAACACAUCCAUAGAAUAUACUCCAAACUCCACACACGAGCGAGACCGGGGGGCUCCUCGUUGAGCGCUGGCCGAGCGGAAGACGCAAAGUUGAACGGCCAAAGCAGAUCAGCCAGGACGAACUCCACAGCUGCACAGGGAGGCUCCCACCCCCGACUGCCGUGCCCCUCCCACCUCCGGCCGCCGCACGCCUCCCACCCCCGGCCGUGACGCAUAACGACAAGUUCAACUUCGUUCAACAAGAAGAAAAUCCAUUUAUACUCAUGUAUACACCCAACAAGCAUCAAAUUCCAUAUACCUAAACUUCCAUUUAUUGAUAUACUUGAACUUAUUUGCUGUUAAUGUACAUAGACUUUGUAAUUAAACAUCAAAACUAAGAGAGAUAGCAGUCAUUGAACUGAACCAAAAUUAGGAAUUGAAUUGGACUAAAUCAAGAAACUGAACCGAGUGUGGCACGAGUUAGUCAAUGUGGAAGAUCAUUCCAUUUUUCCAUCUCUCUCUCUCUCUCUCUCUCUCUCUCUCUCACUCACAUCACCCUGCUGCAGCAACAAAUAGCGGGAGUGCACCAGCGCAAGCAGAAUGGGCUUUAUGCAACUUUUGUCUUAAUUUUUUUGACUGAACUGAGAUUGAAUUUUCACUGAACUCAACUUAAACAUUGCCAGAAAUUAGUUGAACUUUUUGUACUGAACUUAGCUGAACUUUGUACAGGGAUCCACAUUUUACCUGAAAUUUAUUACAUGGAUUUGCAAGGCUGGCCGGUGGUGAAAGCGGGGCGAGCAAAGGCACAGGAGGACCUACUAGAUGUUGUCGCCAUUUCCAUCAUAAUCUAGGAGGAGGAGGAUGAUGGGAGCAAACCUCUAUGGGCGCAAUCGCUCGGGACACGUCAGGAGUGCGGCCGCCGGUGGCAAGGACCGGCCAUCCCUCGCUGAUCGACCACCGUGGCUAGCCUCAUUUAUGAAGUUGGCUCGUCAGGCAGCAGUGGGAUAGUUGUGCGCGAAGACCAGUGACGCUCGGAGGCAGGGGCUAGGCGGCUCCGCACUAGGGUAGGGAGGUCGUGGCUGUGGCCGCUGGGGCAGGGGGCCUGCGGCAGCGCACUGGGAACGGGAGGUCGUUGUGGUGGCGUGCUGGGGCAGGGGGGGCGGCGGCAUGCUGGAGUAGGGGGACGACANNNNNNNNNNNNNNNNNNNNNNNNNNNNNNNNNNNNNNNNNNNNNNNNNNNNNNNNNNNNNNNNNNNNNNNNNNNNNNNNNNNNNNNNNNNNNNNNNNNNNNNNNNNNNNNNNNNNNNNNNNNNNNNNNNNNNNNNNNNNNNNNNNNNNNNNNNNNNNNNNNNNNNNNNNNNNNNNNNNNNNNNNNNNNNNNNNNNNNNNNNNNNNNNNNNNNNNNNNNNNNNNNNNNNNNNNNNNNNNNNNNNNNNNNNNNNNNNNNNNNNNNNNNNNNNNNNNNNNNNNNNNNNNNNNNNNNNNNNNNNNNNNNNNNNNNNNNNNGAUGGUGGGGGAUCGGGUUGGGGAGAUAUAUAUAUAUAUAUAUAUAUAUAUAUAGGGUGGGUCUAUUCUGCUAACACCCUUAAGACUUCUUCUGCUAACAGCAUAAUCUUAUUCUGCUAACACCCCGAGACCCAUCCGCUACAAAACUAACCGCGAGAAGGAACCGAACGAAAUGCAUGGGCAAAGAAAAAAAACACCCCACCUUAUCCUCACCUCAGCCACCCACUCCUCUCUCUCUCCCCCAUGCUCCACCACCGCACCACCUCCCCCACGCCGCCGCACCAACUCCGUCGGCCAUUGCGCUACCUUCCCCGGGUCAGGGCGCCAUUCAACCGAGCCCCCACCACCACUUCGCGCGGCACCGCACCACCUACCUUCCACCGUGCCGCAGCACCACCAACUCCCUCCAUGGCGCCGCCUCCACCACCUCGCGCUCUUCCACAGCCUGCAGCCACGGCGCUGCCCCCUUCCUCCCCAUUGCUCCUGCGCGAGGAGGCGGCGCCCCCAUUCGGCCUACCUACCACCACCUUCCCCCAGCACCUCCCCGGGGACGGAUCUGGGCGGUUCCGGUCCAUCACACCACCAGGCAACGGAUCAAGGAGCACACAUUUGCCUCCUCGUCCCCAUCCCGGACCCCUCCUCUCACGCCGCCGUGGAUACGAGCCACCGACACUAACGGCUCGCGCCCCGCCGUCGUCACCACCAGGGCCGACCGUCAACUCCGACCACGCCCCCGCCAAGCAUCAACCGGAUCUGGCGGGAUCCGGUUCCACCUUACUUGUCCACCCCCUGCCCUCUGGGUAGCUACCCCGACAACUAUGCAUCCGCCCGAGCUCUCAGUGCCUCCCCGGCGGCCAUCCUCUUCCUAUCGGGUCACCUCCCCUGGAUCCCAGAGAGGCUAAGGUGCUAUCCCAGCGUGAUGGCCGCACGGCUUCCCCUCCUCAGAUCCGGUGGUCAUGGCCUCCGCCGUCUCCUGUGCUUCUUCCCACAAUCGUGGCUGAUGAGUAGGACGACGACUCCGGUUCCUCUCUGACUGCUCCAAUGGCAUGCAAGAAGCUCCCCUCCCAUCUCCAUGGGUCGUGUAUGUGUGCAGCUCGUGGGCGUAUUGUGUGAAGCUCGCGUGCGCGUGCAUCUGCAGUACGCAUGCAGCAGUGGAUCCCGGCCCUCCGUCGCUGGAGCAACAAUGGUUAUGGUGGUGCAGUGCACCGCGACUCUACAUGCAUUGCAGUGGGCGUGUGCCCCCUCAAGUACCUUGUAGUAUCGGGGCGUCAGCGAAUUCUUCCCUGUUGACGACUUGCAGCUCUUCGGCGAGUGGCUUGUGGUUCGUGCAGCUUGGGCGUGCAGUCCACUGCUCCGUUCAUCCCUCCCGUGCUCGCCAGCUCAACUCAGUGCACGACAAGCGCGUGCGCAGUCCACUUAUCCCCUGCUCACGGUCCUUUCCCCUACUUCCAAUGUCAACAGGGAAAGAAGACGCUUGAAGUGCUGAAUGACUUGAUAUUUCCGACAGUUUGCAGUGGCGCCUGUAGGUAAGAAGGCGGCAAUGACGACCUGGAAGAGCAGUAUCCACCCAAUUGCCUCGUUUAUCAAUUUUCUUGUUGUUGGAAACUACACUUCAUUACUUCAUUGUAAAAAACUGCAUUUCAUCCCGUUUAUUAAUUUUCUUGUUGUUGGAAACUACACUUCAUUACUUCAUUGUAAAAACUGCAUUUGGUUACGAUGCAGUGCUCUUUGAGAGAAGUUGAAGCCCAUAUCACAAAAAGUAAAGUGCUCUUUGAGAGAAGUUGAAGCCCAUAUCACAAAAAGUAAAGUUGCUUCGGGCUGAAGAUGUUCGCUUGACUGUACUGAGCAGUUCUUUUGUCGAACUAGAUUUUUUUUAUCAUGCUAUGUGCUUUGAGAAAAAAAUGAUGUGUUCCAUUUUAUGGUGAUUACUGGUUUACUUUGUAAAAAAAGAGAAAAGUUAAUUCCCAUGAGAAGUUCACUUCUUUUUCUAAUGCACUUUGUUUCAUUUGUGGCUCUCGAAAACAUGCAUAGAAGAAAAGGAAAAAAA